CCCAAUAUCAAGCCCUAAUUUCUAAACCUCCUGCUGACGCCCACCUCCUCACAUUGCAGCCUGUCAUGCCUACCUCCCGCUCACGCCGCAACCUGUCUCUGUCUCUCAACCGCCAACGCCGGCGACUAUUGCAACGCACCACCGAUCACCCAACUGAGCGCCGAUCGAAGUUGCUUGCCAACGUCGAUGAGUUUCGUUUCUUCUCCCUCCCUUUAUCUCUUCCCCUGUAGGUUUAUUUCCAAAGUGUGUUGAUCUUAUUUCCAAAUUAUUCCUUUAUCUACUUUCUUCACUUAUUCCGACUUCUUGGUCUGCUCGAAACCUUCAUAUUGUUUCUCCAUCUUCUCCAAUUUGUUAUUAAUCUGUCCAACCUUAGUGCAAUUCCCAUUUCUACAAGUGAGAUUUUGGAUGGCAGCAGCGGUAUGCUUGGUUUUGUGGAAGAGUCGUGGUUCUUUCUAUCUUGUCUCUAUUGCUCUACCUGUUUCUAUGUCUAGUCAACCUUGCAAAUUAGUUUUAGCAUCUCAAAUCUUGCCGCAUUAAGAAGAUCAACGCAAGCGCGAAGGCCUCUACCACCACUAUUGCAAGCCUGCACAAAUAGCUGGAUAGUUAAACCCUAUUUGUCUUGCUGCUAACUCCCACGCAAGGUUUUAAGUGUAACAUGGAGUAAUGAUGCAGAACGUAUAUUUUUAGGGAGCAGUGAUGGGUAUGUACAUGUACCACCAAUUGUUACUUGCAAUGAAAAUCAAUAUAAUGUACUAAUUACUAUGAACGUGAUCUUCUCCAAUUUUGUUGCUAAAUUAUAGUUACUCCACGUUUGUGCAUUCCUCACCCUACUUGCCCUAAUUUUGUUGCUAAAUUAAAGUUACUCUUACUUGUCUUUUGCCAAAUGCAUAAUCAAGAUCACCACGGUGAGGAUUAUUCGUAGUCCUUUGCACUAAGGUGAGGAUUAUUCAUAGAUCACCAUGUUCUUAAAUCUAUUCAUUUCUUACAAUUUUUUUUGUUUGUUUCCCUUUUAGUUUCAUUGCCCAUAUGAAUUGAAUUUGAUAAGGUAUGUGUUUAUGAUGUUUGGUAAGAAGUAAUAAGAUUGUCCCUGACUCUGUUAUUGUCUUUUGUUGGUGUAUUGUAUUGAUAGGGAUGUGUGCGUCAAACUUGGAGCCUUCAUCCAAAGAUAAGUGGCAUUGCUGAAUCUAUGAUGUUAAAGUAUGCUGAUAAUAUUGUAAAGUUUUGCAAGAAUCCUUUGGAGCAAUGAAGUCAUAUUUGCGACAAUUCAUCAAUGUAUUGGCCUUUUUGUAGGUUUGGUAGCAAAAUUUUGGUUCAAAUGUAUUUAAAUGGCUUGUUUGUACCAAAACAUAUAUGUUCAUUGCUUCAUUGUACAAACACUUUACCAAC
Long non-coding RNA from Cucumis melo (muskmelon), 1386 nucleotides. RefSeq lists it as uncharacterized. The transcript is spliced from 6 exons. The record is from RefSeq and is a predicted model, not a curated record. NCBI's taxonomy places the organism in Eukaryota, Viridiplantae, Streptophyta, Magnoliopsida, Cucurbitales, Cucurbitaceae.